Molecule: long non-coding RNA, 844 nt
Organism: Solanum lycopersicum (tomato)
Lineage: Eukaryota; Viridiplantae; Streptophyta; Magnoliopsida; Solanales; Solanaceae
Source: RefSeq, a predicted model, not a curated record
UACAAAAUAUCUUUUAUGUAGAAAUUUUCAUCCAACCUUAAACAACUCUUCAUCUUCUCCUCUUCUCAACAGAGAUAGUCCAAGUUCAAGUUUGUGUAGUCUCCUGUUGUUUAAAUUACAGAAUUUUGACUUCGUUGUGGUGGUUAUUUGCUCCGUGUUUCAUUUGUCUCUCGGUGUGUGAUAUAUUGCAACAUGACGGAAAGAUAUACCAUCAAUAUGAUCACUCCAGAUACUAAAAGUUGAACCUGUAAAGCCCAAGUUGUUGAUAAAUGUCGACCAAGGGAUAACAAACAUAAAACCACAAAAUAUCAAGUCUUAAUUCUGCAAGAUGAAGAGGAGAAUCAAGUUCAGGCCACCAUUUUCAGUACUGAUAUAACAUAUUUUGAAAAAGAAUUAGCUCCUUUCAAGACUUACUUGGUAUUUGUUGCACAUGUGAAAGUCCCGCCUCUUGGACACGAAAAUCCACUUAACAAAUUCAUUUGGACACUCGACAAAAACACCAUUGUUGAACCAAUUGAAGAGGUCAAACCUUCAGAGGAUCCAUUACCACACCCAACACGAUUGACUCUUGCUAAAUUUGACACUUUCGAGUAUCAACCCAAAAAAUUUGAAUUUGAUGUACUUGCCAUCGUCAUUAAUGACAGAAUGACAGUCCUUCAACAAAGACAACAACUGGAAAGCGACUUUAAGAGUUCAUUGUCAUGGAGGGACUGAAAAAACCAACAAAAUUGACACUUUGGGAGGAUUAUGUUGAUCAUGAGGUAGUUAAAACUUUUUGUCACAACCCAAAAUGAGUCGUGAGUGGCACCCACACUUACCCUCCUAUGUGAGCGAACCAACCAAU